Molecule: ribosomal RNA, 301 nt
Filed under: uncultured bacterium
Lineage: Bacteria
Description: partial 16S ribosomal RNA
Rfam family: Bacterial small subunit ribosomal RNA
Source: RNAcentral
CAGUAGCCACGGGAAUACGAAGGGUGCAAGCGUUACUCGGAAUUACUGGGCGUAAAGCGUGCGUAGGUGGUGGUUUAAGUCCGUUGUGAAAGCCCUGGGCUCAACCUGGGAAUUGCAGUGGAUACUGGGUCACUAGAGUGUGGUAGAGGAUAGUGGAAUUUCCGGUGUAGCAGUGAAAUGCGUAGAGAUCGGAAGGAACAUCUGUGGCGAAGGCGACUAUCUGGGCCAACACUGACACUGAGGCACGAAAGCGUGGGGAGCAAACAGGAUUAGAUACCCGAGUAGUCCCUGUCUCUUAUAU